GCCCGCCUAGCUCAAUCGGAUAGAGCGUCAGACUCUUAUGAGUACGGGUGAUCUUCACAGAUUCUGCGAUCUGAAGGCUGCGAGUUCGACCCUCGCGGUGGGCU
Molecule: transfer RNA, 104 nt
Filed under: Hermanssonia centrifuga
Lineage: Eukaryota; Fungi; Basidiomycota; Agaricomycetes; Polyporales; Meruliaceae
Description: Phlebia centrifuga tRNA
Rfam family: tRNA
About the family: Transfer RNA (tRNA) molecules are approximately 80 nucleotides in length.
Source: Rfam by way of RNAcentral